RNAcentral lists this ribosomal RNA (253 nucleotides) under uncultured bacterium. RNAcentral's name for it is "partial 16S ribosomal RNA". It matches the Rfam family "Bacterial small subunit ribosomal RNA", at positions 524 to 776 of the family's 1533-position model. The record is from RNAcentral.
UACGUAGGGGGCUAGCGUUGUCCGGAAUCAUUGGGCGUAAAGCGCGUGUAGGCGGUCCGGUAAGUCCGCUGUGAAAGUCAGGGGCUCAACCCUCGGAUGCCGGUGGAUACUGUCGGGCUUGAGUACGGAAGAGGCGAGUGGAAUUCCUGGUGUAGCGGUGAAAUGCGCAGAUAUCAGGAGGAACACCAAUUGCGAAGGCAGCUCGCUGGGACGUUACUGACGCUGAGACGCGAAAGCGUGGGGAGCAAACAGG